RNAcentral lists this long non-coding RNA (489 nucleotides) under Equus caballus (horse). RNAcentral's name for it is "lncRNA (ENSECAG00000048966.1)". The record is from RNAcentral. Lineage: Eukaryota; Metazoa; Chordata; Mammalia; Perissodactyla; Equidae.
CCGAGAUGCACCCAAAGCCUAUCAGCCACAGAUCCAUACCACAAAAGAUGAAAACAUUUUUAAGAAAGAGAUUAAAAAGGAGGGAAAGCAGACAUGAUAUCGCUGGGCAACAGAGAAGCUGGGUGGGAGGGGACCCACAGGCCAACAGCCUCAGCUGCAAACAAUCAAUGUCAGUGAUGAAUGGUGUUACAAAGGGUCAUCAUUACCCUCAGGGAUGGGGACAGCAUGAGAUGAUAAUGAAUAUGUUUGGGGAAGAAUAAUAUAACCUCAUCUGGUAUGGAUGGGUGGCAUCAGCAUCUAGGCUGCUGGAUGGAAGAACAUGUUGACAUUAUUUAUAGCUAUAAUGCAGAGCUAUGACAGAGAUCCAUUGUAAACAAUGCCUUCCAAGGCAGCUGCUUUCCAUUAAAAAAUAUAUAACAGAAAAGAGUUUGCAAAGGGUGGCUUAGCAUGGCGGCAUUAAAGAGGGCUGUCAUCUUUGCUAAAUCUGGG